RNAcentral lists this unclassified non-coding RNA (403 nucleotides) under soil metagenome. RNAcentral's name for it is "partial contains 5.8S ribosomal RNA, internal transcribed spacer 2, and large subunit ribosomal RNA". The stretch from base 1 to 121 matches the Rfam family "5.8S ribosomal RNA", at positions 35 to 154 of the family's 154-position model. The record is from RNAcentral.
GAUGAAGAACGUAGCGAAAUGCGAUAAGUAAUGUGAAUGGCAGAAUUCAGUGAAUCAUCGAAUCUUUGAACGCACCUUGCGCCCUUUGGCUAUUCCGAAGGGCAUGCCUGUUUGAGUAUCAUGAACACCUCAACUCUCAUGGCUUGCCAUGAUGAGCUUGGACUUUUGGGGGUCUUGCUGGCCUGUGGUCAGCUCCUCUCAAAUGAAUUAGCCUGCCAGUGUUUGGUGGCAUCACAGGUGUGAUAACUAUCUACGCUUGUGGUUUUCCACCAGGUAACCUUCAGUGAUGAAGGUUCGCUGGGGCUCAUAAACGUCUCUCCUCAGUGAGGACAGCUCUUUGAACGUUUGAUCUCAAAUCAGGUAGGACUACCCGCUGAACUUAAGCAUAUCAAUAAGCGGAGGA